Molecule: long non-coding RNA, 1473 nt
Organism: Venturia canescens
Lineage: Eukaryota; Metazoa; Arthropoda; Insecta; Hymenoptera; Ichneumonidae
Exons: 2
Source: RefSeq, a predicted model, not a curated record
CGGAAAAUUACCGCCAGUGGCGUACACACAUGGAAGAAAAGCACAGUUCACUGAGGUCUCUGAGUUUAGUUCGUAGUCGGUGGCGCUGGCGUCAUUUUCUUUUUCACUUCCACUCGCAUGUUCAGCGGCAUGCUUUGUUCCAUCUCUCUUGUUCUUGUAGUAGUGAUACGCUGGAGGAACAGGUAAUAUUUAAAUGUCGAGUAUUUUUAACGUUUGAUAUGUUUAUAUAGAAGAAUGUACCAGUUCAAAGAAGAAAAUCUCCAGUUUGACGUUUCAUCGUUUUGCAAAAGAUGAAGCAGCCGAUUGACACAGCGAUGCUGGCGAUGCUCAUGCCUUACCUUCCUGGGAUUUGUUCACUAUGUAUGAACGUUGUUUGUGUUGUCUUUAUGCCUCAUAUUUCGGAACUUUUAGUCCUGUAUCAUAUUACUUUGAGCUCAGUCAGUAAGAAUAUUGAAAAAGGAAAAAUGAUUUUUAUGACUGACAGGCUGAUUUUUUUUGACAGAAAAAUUUAUUUGUUAAAAAUUAGAUAAUUACAGCUGACUUUGCAGCAGCUACACAAGGUCAUCAGGCUAUUGAGUUCCUGCGUGUUUAUAUUCUCAAUCAACUGUUUUAUAAUACAAUACGUUUCGUGGUUGAUUACACGACUUUAAGCACGUAUUUCGAAAUAAUCUUGUUAAGAAGGUUGAGCUUGGCAAUAAAUACAUUUUUUUUCAAUAAACCUAUGAAAAAAUAAUUUAUGCAUAUUCAUGCGCUUCAUUAGGCACGACGGAAAAGGUGCUCCACAUGCGUUCAGGCGAAAAUUUGUAAAUUCAAACUAAAUCAGUCACCUUUUUAAUUUAUGCAGUCAUUUACAAUCAGACUGAAUUACAAAUUUCUAUUCAAUGAACAAUACUCUAAGGAAUUCCCUUUGGAAUAUCCAAAAAUUCAAUGAGCUAUCAAAUAACCAGGAAGUUUGUCACGAAUUCUACAAACACCUGUCAACAAUGCCAAUCGAUUUAUUUUUUCCUAAGAGCAAGAAAAAAUGAAAGCGAAGAUGAUCCAGAAGAUUUUGAAUUUUCACAGUGAAAAAUAUAAAUUUCUAUGAAUAAAAAAUCAAAUUUCCAGUUAUAAAAAAAUGAAUCUUACACUUUGCAUUAUAAAAUUUUAAAACAUCACAUUUUCCUUCCCUCUUUCCAUCGCUACACUCUUGAAAUUGUCUUCAAAUUUUCUUCGCUCGUGUAACUUGUACAUAUUUUGGUAGCAUCGUUUCAUCAGUUUUUCAGUUAAUGGUCAAAUAUGUACUUUGUGCAAGGAAGUAUAAGACUUGGAAUCGAUUGCUCUGGGACCAGUACAACAACCGCCAAGCUCAAGUACCAGCGGAUUUUGUAAUCGCUCAGUAAAUCAUUGAUAAGGCUUACGAAUUUGACCAUGGCAAUGGAAUAUAAAUAAGAUGAUGAGCUUCUCAGAGAACCUACCAAUAUUAUAUAUAUACAA